Molecule: ribosomal RNA, 253 nt
Filed under: uncultured bacterium
Lineage: Bacteria
Description: partial 16S ribosomal RNA
Rfam family: Archaeal small subunit ribosomal RNA
Source: RNAcentral
UACCAGCACCCCGAGUGGUCGGGACGAUUAUUGGGCCUAAAGCAUCCGUAGCCGGUUUUACAAGUCCUCCGUUAAAUCCAACUGCUUAACAGAUGGGCUGCGGAGGAUACUAUAGAGCUAGGAGGCGGGAGAGGCAAGCGGUACUCGAUGGGUAGGGGUAAAAUCCGUUGAUCCAUUGAAGACCACCAGUGGCGAAGGCGGCUUGCCAGAACGCGCUCGACGGUGAGGGAUGAAAGCUGGGGGAGCAAACCGG